Molecule: ribosomal RNA, 315 nt
Filed under: Triticum aestivum (bread wheat)
Lineage: Eukaryota; Viridiplantae; Streptophyta; Magnoliopsida; Poales; Poaceae
Description: partial small subunit ribosomal RNA
Source: RNAcentral
AUGCAACUUUUACUGCACUGGUCUUGUGUAAAUGAGUUGCUCACUCUUGCUUCCACGCGCAUAUUCAUGCAAAAUUUUGUAGUCACAGGUGGUUUAGUUUUCUCUAUUAGUGUGCUUUUGUUAUCAAUUUUCGUGUAUCAUGACCAGAUGGACAAACUACAUGUCUGCAAACAAAUAAUCAAGAAGCUGGAAAAAAACCGACACAACAAAGCGCGCGUUUGCCUAGUCUAUAUUAAUUAUGCUAGAUAUAAGUGCUUCAUGCAUGGCCAUUCUUGUAUUAUGUUCCAUUUUCUAGAUUAUUUCAGCAAUGUUUGA